AGCUUGCUACCUGACCUAGCGGCGGACGGGUGAGUAAUGCUUAGGAAUCUGCCUAUUAGUGGGGGACAACAUUCCGAAAGGAAUGCUAAUACCGCAUACGCCCUACGGGGGAAAGCAGGGGAUCUUCGGACCUUGCGCUAAUAGAUGAGCCUAAGUCAGAUUAGCUAGUUGGUGGGGUAAAGGCCUACCAAGGCGACGAUCUGUAGCGGGUCUGAGAGGAUGAUCCGCCACACUGGGACUGAGACACGGCCCAGACUCCUACGGGAGGCAGCAGUGGGGAAUAUUGGACAAUGGGCAAAAGCCUGAUCCAGCCAUGCCGCGUGUGUGAAGAAGGCCUUUUGGUUGUAAAGCACUUUAAGCGAGGAGGAGGCUACUUGGAUUAAUACUCUAGGAUAGUGGACGUUACUCGCAGAAUAAGCACCGGCUAACUCUGUGCCAGCAGCCGCGGUAAUACAGAGGGUGCGAGCGUUAAUCGGAUUUACUGGGCGUAAAGCGUGCGUAGGCGGCUUCUUAAGUCGGAUGUGAAAUCCCUGAGCUUAACUUAGGAAUUGCAUUCGAUACUGGGAAGCUAGAGUAUGGGAGAGGAUGGUAGAAUUCCAGGUGUAGCGGUGAAAUGCGUAGAGAUCUGGAGGAAUACCGAUGGCGAAGGCAGCCAUCUGGCCUAAUACUGACGCUGAGGUACGAAAGCAUGGGGAGCAAACAGGAUUAGAUACCCUGGUAGUCCAUGCCGUAAACGAUGUCUACUAGCCGUUGGGGCCUUUGAGGCUUUAGUGGCGCAGCUAACGCGAUAAGUAGACCGCCUGGGGAGUACGGUCGCAAGACUAAAACUCAAAUGAAUUGACGGGGGCCCGCACAAGCGGUGGAGCAUGUGGUUUAAUUCGAUGCAACGCGAAGAACCUUACCUGGUCUUGACAUAGUAAGAACUUUCCAGAGAUGGAUUGGUGCCUUCGGGAACUUACAUACAGGUGCUGCAUGGCUGUCGUCAGCUCGUGUCGUGAGAUGUUGGGUUAAGUCCCGCAACGAGCGCAACCCUUUUCCUUAUUUGCCAGCGAGUAAUGUCGGGAACUUUAAGGAUACUGCCAGUGACAAACUGGAGGAAGGCGGGGACGACGUCAAGUCAUCAUGGCCCUUACGACCAGGGCUACACACGUGCUACAAUGGUCGGUACAAAGGGUUGCUACCUAGCGAUAGGAUGCUAAUCUCAAAAAGCCGAUCGUAGUCCGGAUUGGAGUCUGCAACUCGAC
RNAcentral lists this ribosomal RNA (1244 nucleotides) under uncultured Acinetobacter sp. RNAcentral describes it as "bacterial SSU rRNA". It matches the Rfam family "Bacterial small subunit ribosomal RNA", at positions 77 to 1316 of the family's 1533-position model. The record is from RNAcentral. Lineage: Bacteria; Pseudomonadati; Pseudomonadota; Gammaproteobacteria; Moraxellales; Moraxellaceae.